This 1257-nucleotide long non-coding RNA is filed under the name Ovis aries (sheep). Its description in RNAcentral is "lncRNA (ENSOARG00000026279.1)". The record is from RNAcentral. Lineage: Eukaryota; Metazoa; Chordata; Mammalia; Artiodactyla; Bovidae.
AUGGUUUUUCCAGUGGUCAUGUAUGGAUGUGAGAGUUGGACUGUGAAGAAGGCUGAACACCGAAGAAUUGAUGCUUUUGAACUGUGGUGUUGGAGAAGACUCUUGAGAGUCCCUUGGACUGCAAGGAGAUCCAACCAGUCCAUUCUGAAGGAGAUCAACCCUGGGAUUUCUUUGGAAGGAAUGAUGCUAAAGCUGAAACUCCAGUACUUUGGCUACCUCAUGCGAAGAGUUGACUCACUGGAAAAGACUCUGCUGGGAGGGAUUGGGGGCAGGAGGAGAAGGGGACGACAGAGGAUGAGAUGGCUGGAUGGCAUCACUGACUCGAUGGACAUGAGUCUGAGUGAACUCCGGGAGUUGGUGAUGGACAGGGAAGCCUGGCGUGCUGCAAUUCAUGGGGUCUCAAAGAGUUGGACACGACUGAGUGACUGAACUGAACGGAAUGGUUUUUCCAGUAGUCAAGUAUGGAUGUGAGAGUUGGACUAUAAAGAAAGCUUAGUGCCGAAGAAUUGAUGCUUUUGAAUUGUGGUGUUGGAGAAGACUCUUGAGAGUCCCUUGGACUGCAGGGAGAUCAAACAAGUCAAUCCUGAAGGAAGUCAGUCCUGAAUAUUCAUUGGAAGGACUGAUGCUAAAGAUGAAAUUCCAAUUAUUUGGCCACCUGACUCCUUGGAAAAGACCCUGAUGCUGGGAAAGAUUGAAGGCAAGAGGAGAAGGGGACAACAGAGGAUGAAAUGGUUGGAUGGCAUCACUGACUCAAUGGACAUGAGUUUGAGUAAGCUCUGGGUGUUGGUGAUGGACAGAGAAGCCUGGCGUGCUGCAGUCCAUGGGGAUACAAAGAGUCAGACAUGACUGAGCGACUGAACUGAACUGAACUGAUUACACUGUGAAAAUUUAUGUGCAUAUCUUUAUAUGGAUAUAGGUAAUCAUCCCUGAUGGCUCAGUUGGUAAAGAAUCUGCCUGCAAAUCAGGAGACCCUGGUUCUAUUUCUGGGUAGAGAAGAUCCUCUGGAGAAGGGACAGGUUACCCACUCCAGUGUUCUUGGGCUUCCCUUGUGGCUUAGCUGGUAAAGAAUCUGCCUACAAUGCGGGAGACCUGGGUUUGAUCCCUGGUUCGGAAGAUCCCCUGGAGAAGAGAAAGGUUACCCACUCCAAUACUCUGGCCUAGAGAAUUCCAUGGACUGUAUAAUCCAUGGGGUCUCAAAGAGUUGGACACGGCGGAGUGACUUUCAUGUUCACAGAAAAGAUCUAUGAAUAGACACAA